Molecule: long non-coding RNA, 1665 nt
Organism: Cyprinus carpio carpio
Lineage: Eukaryota; Metazoa; Chordata; Actinopteri; Cypriniformes; Cyprinidae
Source: Ensembl
UCUACGUCAUGUGAAUGACAGUUGCUGAGAUUCUGUGGACAACUGUGGGUCCUAACUGACAUUCCUUCUUUCUUCCUCCAGUUACUUAGACAGUUUAGAUCGGAUUGGUGCUGCAGACUACCAGCCCACAGAGCAGGACAUUCUGCGAACUCGAGUGAAGACCACCGGGAUUGUAGAAACCCACUUCACCUUCAAGAACCUGCACUUCAGGCUGUUUGAUGUGGGAGGUCAGAGGUCGGAGAGGAAGAAAUGGAUCCACUGCUUUGAGGACGUGACCGCUAUUAUCUUCUGUGUGGCUCUGAGUGGAUACGACCAGGUGCUCCAUGAAGACGAGACCACGGUCCAAACACCUACGACGAUGCAGCUGCUUACAUCCAAGCACAAUUUGAAAGCAAGAACCGCUCACCUAAUAAGGAGAUCUACUGUCACUUGACCUGUGCCACGGAUACAGGAAACAUCCAGGUGGUGUUCGAUGCUGUGACCGACAUCAUCAUCGCCAACAACCUGCGAGGCUGCGGCUUGUACUGAGGCCCGCCCCCUCCCUCUCGAGCCACUUCUUUGGAAAUGAUUAUUAUUGAAAAUGCAAGUUGGUAAAUAAUGAUAAUGAUAAUUUUAAAAUAGGCAUAUACAAAUAUAUAAAUAUAUUAUAUAUAUAUGAAAUGUUUUUAGUUUGUCUUUCAAAGAGCUGCCAACAGAACUGAUUUCUUAUAGAAACCCAGCCUUUAUGGUUUUAGAACAAAGUUGGGACCUUUUUUUGUGUUGUUUUUGUUUUUCUUUGCUGUUGUAUGUUUUGUUCUCCCCUGUUUUCCACUGUGUCUUUAUCAUUGAAACUAAACAACCCUCAUUUUUUUUUUUUAUGUUUUAUGUCAUUGUAUGUAUAUUUAUUACACAAAUAUCAGUCAGGGGGAUGACCUGUACAUGUUUGCCUGGCUAUACGAAUUUUACUUUGACGAUAAUGUGACGAUAGCUAAAUCCACGGUUAUGCUAGUCUGGAGCACUAUAGUUCAAGUCAGUUGUGGCGUGUCCUUGUUUCGGAUUUUUAAUCACUGUAGUACCGUUCCAUAUCAUAAAGAAUGGAAUAACCCAGGCUUUUCUUACGUUUCGUUUCUACCCAUCCCCGUCACUUCCGUAGCUCAGCUCUCUGGGGAAGGGCCUGGGCCGCUUGGCAUGUGACCCCAGGUCUGUCGAACCAGUACUAUGAUUGCAAGUGUCAUAUCAGUGCCAACCUUCUGAGAUUGACGUGUCUGGGAACAGUACUAGAAACACUAGGUCACUGUUAUGAGAACUUAUUAACAUUUGUCUUGUGAGGAACUAUUACUUUUGUAUUGUUGUUGAUUAAUUUAUUAAUUUAUUUAUUGAUCAUCUGUCCCACGCACUUCCUUUGUACUUACUCCACUUCGUCCAUUCUUCUACCUCUCGUCCGUUGUCACCCUUCCCUCUUCAUCCCUUCUUUUCCCCAGGUUUCUGUUUUAGUUGGCUGGGUAAUGGAGUCCCCGUCACUGAUAGCAUGACCCCCUCAGCCUUUGUAUAAAGAAACAGCUACUUGCUUCACAUAGCUAAUGGUGCGAAAAGAAAGAAUAAAACACAAAAUAAAAAGAACAAAAAAAGAGGAAAAAAGAAAACGGAAAAGACAGACACAGCAAAAAAGAAUGGGCAUCAUGUGGG